This 335-nucleotide long non-coding RNA is filed under the name Mus pahari (shrew mouse). Its description in RNAcentral is "lncRNA (MGP_PahariEiJ_G0003840.1)". Lineage: Eukaryota; Metazoa; Chordata; Mammalia; Rodentia; Muridae. The record is from RNAcentral.
GAGGAAGAAGGAAGAGGGGAUUUGGCCAUGACCAGAGGGUAGGAGACAGACCACUCUGGAAACAGCUGACGUUCUCCCCCAGGAGCCUGUGUGUGGAUGCGGCUGUUAGCAUCAGAAGUUGCAGAUCCACCCCACCCCACCCCAAAUCAGUCUUUACCUGCUAUGAGGGAACUGGAAGCUGCAAGCAUCCUCAGCUGGCAACUGCACCUCCAGGAGUGGCUGGGUCUCUGUAGUAAAACUAUGGUGGGAGGUGUGGAGACCAUUGUGAUUGUGAUAGACCCAGGAAAUCUGGUCUGACACCCUUUUAAACUGCAGUUGGAGGAGGCUGAGAAAGU